UACAGAGGGGGCAAGCGUUAUUCGGAAUCAUUGGGCGUAAAGAGCGUGUAGGCGGCCCGGUAAGUCCGCUGUGAAAGUCGGGGGCUCAACCCUCGAAUGCCGGUGGAUACUGUCGGGCUAGAGUGCGGAAGAGGCGAGUGGAAUUCCUGGUGUAGCGGUGAAAUGCGCAGAUAUCAGGAGGAACACCGAUUGCGAAGGCAGCUCGCUGGGACGUCACUGACGCUGAGACGCGAAAGCGUGGGGAGCAAACAGG
Molecule: ribosomal RNA, 253 nt
Filed under: uncultured bacterium
Lineage: Bacteria
Description: partial 16S ribosomal RNA
Rfam family: Bacterial small subunit ribosomal RNA
Source: RNAcentral